AUUGAACGCCGGCGGCAGGCUUAACACAUGCAAGUCGAGCGGGGUGAUGGUGCUUGCACUAUCACUUAGCGGCGGACGGGUGAGUAAUGCUUAGGAAUCUGCCUAUUAGUGGGGGACAACAUCUCGAAAGGGAUGCUAAUACCGCAUACGUCCUACGGGAGAAAGCAGGGGAUCACUUGUGACCUUGCGCUAAUAGAUGAGCCUAAGUCGGAUUAGCUAGUUGGUGGGGUAAAGGCCUACCAAGGCGACGAUCUGUAGCGGGUCUGAGAGGAUGAGCCGCCACACUGGGACUGGGACACGGCCCAGACUCCUACGGGAGGCAGCAGUGGGGAAUAUUGGACAAUGGGGGGAACCCUGAUCCAGCCAUGCCGCGUGUGUGAAGAAGGCCUUAUGGUUGUAAAGCACUUUAAGCGAGGAGGAGGCUCUUUUGGUUAAUACCCAAGAUGAGUGGACGUUACUCGCAGAAUAAGCACCGGCUAACUCUGUGCCAGCCGCCGCCGUAA
RNAcentral lists this ribosomal RNA (503 nucleotides) under uncultured bacterium. Its description in RNAcentral is "partial 16S ribosomal RNA". It matches the Rfam family "Bacterial small subunit ribosomal RNA", at positions 30 to 523 of the family's 1533-position model. The record is from RNAcentral.